AGUGCAGGACACCUGUAACUGUGAACAGUCUCUGUGUCCAGAAACUUGACACACGUUUAUUGCUUUCUACCCUGCUUUCCAGCAUUCUUGUGACAACCCUCCUCCCAUGGUUGAAGUUCUUUUUCAUGUGUGCUUAGAGACACACUUGGAACUUGGAAAGUGGAAAAAGUCAGGAUGGAUGAAGUGAACUGUUUGCAUACAGAUGUUCUGAAAAGUCAGAGCUCCCUCUAUCGAUUGAGACUGCAGGAAGGACACUUGUUCUGCAUACAGAAAAAGGUCUUUGGAUGCAGCUUCUUCAAUCAAAAUUUCUUUGCUUCACUCAAAAACUACAAACACUGCUAAUUCAGACCUCCUUGCCCUCCUCAUUGGAUGCCGUUCUGCUCUGAAACUACAGCAACUACAAAGCACAUCAGUGCUGUUGGAUAGAGUACGUGCUCAGACACAAAACGCUAUUUUCCAACAUAGUCACCACCAUUAGUUACGCAUUUUAGCUUGUGAUGAACAAGAGAUUGCAUGCCACACUCAUGACUACUGGCACUGCUGAAGUGCAGCACCCUCCCCUCACUGUGCUCACAGCCACUGCUUGGUCCCCAUACAUGCUGUGUUGAUGAAUGCACACCAGAUGCUCCCAGCUGCACAGCACCGAUCAGCACAGGCUGAGGAAAAGGGUCAGAGACUACUAAGUGUGCAUAUAACAUCUUUACUGGCAUUAUUCAUUUUUAUUUUCUGGAACAAAUCUGGACUAAUGACAAUUGGACUCUCAGAUGUCAAUUAUACUAAAAUUAAUUUCUUGGCUCUCCUGUAUUUUAGUGUCCUUCCACUUUGUCCAUAAAGACAACUUUGAGCACAAGGUCACUCCAGCGCUUCACAAAGGUGACAGCCACCAGGCAGGGAAAGGCAGUGCCUGGCACAACAUCGUCAUUCGAAGCAAUUAAGCAACUGAAGAUCAAUUUCUGUGCCUGUAAAAUAACCCUCAGCCUACUCUUGACCUAUCACUCCGCAAUUACACCACUACACAAUCUGCUAUUAUCUUAUCUUGUUGCAAGAUGCAAACAAUGCAACCCUAUCCCUGCACAAAGCACAGCACUGCGUUGCAGCCCUUCUGCUGGAGCAGGAGAGCAGUGGUCACUGUGGCAUACUGCACACAGCUACUGAAUUGCAUCUUCUGGAAGUUCAGAUCUGUAGCUGUAGCUACUUGCAGCAUUAUCUUCGAAAAUUAUUUCCUGAGACUGAAAUGAUCCUGAUGCCCCUCACACACCAACCCAUCCAAAUUUCCGUGGUACAUCACUGCCAAGUAUGCAUACGCUCCUAUUUACAGCGAAGAAAAGCUCCUCCUCCUCGUUACAAACCACGCCAACUCUGCACGAUCUGUGGUGUUUUAACAUGAUUCAGCUGCAUGUACUGCAAGUUAAUACAUUAUUUCCAGAAGGGCUCCUGACUGACUUCAUCUGUUUA
Lagopus leucura (white-tailed ptarmigan) is the source of this 1455-nucleotide long non-coding RNA. RefSeq lists it as uncharacterized. Lineage: Eukaryota; Metazoa; Chordata; Aves; Galliformes; Phasianidae. The transcript is spliced from 4 exons. The record is from RefSeq and is a predicted model, not a curated record.